CAGCAGCCGCGGGAAUACGAAGGGGGCUAGCGUUGUUCGGGAUUACUGGGCGUAAAGCGCACGUAGGCGGACUUUUAAGUCAGGGGUGAAAUUCCGGGGCUCAACCUCGGAACUGCCUUUGAUACUGGAAGUCUUGAGUGUGGAAGAGGUAAGUGGAAUUGCGAGUGUAGAGGUGAAAUUCGUAGAUAUUCGCAGGAACACCAGUGGCGAAGGCGGCUUACUGGUCCACAACUGACGCUGAGGUGCGAAAGCGUGGGGAGCAAACAGGAUUAGAUACCCCCGUAGUCCCUGUCUCUUAUAC
Molecule: ribosomal RNA, 301 nt
Filed under: uncultured bacterium
Lineage: Bacteria
Description: partial 16S ribosomal RNA
Rfam family: Bacterial small subunit ribosomal RNA
Source: RNAcentral